This 461-nucleotide ribosomal RNA is filed under the name uncultured bacterium. Its description in RNAcentral is "bacterial SSU rRNA". It matches the Rfam family "Bacterial small subunit ribosomal RNA", at positions 335 to 788 of the family's 1533-position model. The record is from RNAcentral.
ACUCCUACGGGAGGCAGCAGUGGGGAAUAUUGCACAAUGGGGGAAACCCUGAUGCAGCCAUGCCGCGUGUGUGAAGAAGGCCUUCGGUUGUAAAGCACUUUCAGUAGGGAGGAAGGUAGUGUAGUUAACACCUGCACUAUUUGACGUUACCUACAGAAGAAGCACCGGCUAACUCCGUGCCAGCAGCCGCGGUAAUACGGAGGGGUGCGAGCGUUAAUCGGAAUUACUGGGCGUAAAGCGCAUGCAGGCGGCCUGUUAAGUCAGAUGUGAAAGCCCGGGGGCUUAACCUCGGAAUUGCAUUUGAAACUGGCAGGCUAGAGUCUUGUAGAGGGGGUAGAAUUUCAGGUGUAGCGGUGAAAUGCGUAGAGAUCUGAAGGAUACCAGUGGCGAAGGCGGCCCCCUGGACAAAGACUGACGCUCAGAUGCGAAAGCGUGGGGAGCGAAACAGGAUUAGAUACCCU